GACCUCCAAUUUAAAAUUUCAUAACAAUUAGACACCCCUAAGAUGUAGAACUCAACUUUUGCACUAUUUACAAUUUAGUCCUUUUGACUAAAUUGAGUGCCCAAACGUCGAAAUUUUCGAACUAAAUUUUUACGAAAAUUUUCCGUGAAAUUGUAGACCAUAAAAAUAUAAUAAUAACCAUAUUUUCCCUCAUCGGAUUUGUGGUCCCGAAACCACUAUUCCGACUAGGCCCAGAAUCGGGCUGUUACAUCCAUGGUCUACCACGCCUCAAAACAGAAUAUUUUCCUACCCAAUCUCACACGCCCUUGAUCCAAAUUAAUCAUGAGCAAACAAUAAUCCAAAAACGAGUGUGGUAAAUGCUUUAUCAUAGCACUUGAAAACAUAUUCAUCCAUUCAACAUCCACCAUACCCUUGUUAAGUCUUUCUCUAAUGUUUGUUUCCGGUAAACUCCCCCUCUCCCAAGUAAACCAUGUCCCCGAGAACCCAAUAUCCAUUAAACGACACCGAUCUAACACUUCUUGGAAUUUCUCCAUACGUAUUUCCCCCAUUGACGCCCUUUCCACUUUUUCAAAGGAAUACAUGAUCUCAUUAAAAUCCCCACACGCAAGCCAUGAAAAAUCUUGACAAUGACCUAAACACCUUAACAAAUCCCAAGAUUCAUCUCUACCACGUGCAAAAGGAGCCCCAUAAAACCCAGUAAAUCUCUAUUUUCUACUUUCCCCAUCCUCUUCAACCUCAACAUCAACAUGGUUCUUUGAGAAAUUCCUUAAACUUACCCCUAAAUAUGCCUUCCAUACCAAACGUAGACCUCUUGCGUGUCAUCUGUCGACAUAUCAAUACCAUUCAAAAAACCACACCUUCUUUGCACCCUCUCUAUAUGCAAAGUACGUAGUUCUGUCUCCAUAAAGAAGACCACUUGAAGAUUAUAUACAUUCAACAUAUACCGAAGUCUUCUUAUAGCAUGUAGAUUCCCUAAACCACGAAUAUCCCAACAUAUUAUUUUUAUUGCGACCAGUCGACUUUCCCCUUUGCAACCGCCGAUAAAAUUUGAGCUUGAACCGCAUGAAUCUCCUCUUUCAUCCUAAAUGGGUCUGUAACAGAAGAACUACUUUGAUCUCCCUUCGAGGUCUUUUCUUCCCAUCGCCACUUUCAAUCAGACUCUUCUCAAAAUCAUGCUCCAUAUCCGAAUGACUUAAUAUUUUAGAAUAAAUCCCAUCCAAUUUAGACCAAUGCCUCAAAACUCCUUUCAGAUUAAACCUAGGACAGAAUCCAACCUCAUCCUAGAACCCACCCCACUGUCUCCUUCCUCCCUCAGCCACACACCAUUCAUUAAAACAACUUUUCUAGAUUGUGUCAUGGGGCUGGAACUUUAGUCUCGUAUUCCGUAUCUUAGGCAAUCCUUUCGAUGCAAACAUACCUAAGUAAGCCUAACCACCACAAAGUGAGGAUUCAUAAAGAAUUCCUCCAAUGCACCAAUUUAUAUAGCAAAAGCAACUCUAGCAAAAAAAAAAGCACAAAAGAAUAGAAAGCCACAAAAAACAAUACACCAGAGAUGUUUGAGUAGAUGCUCUUAAAAAAUUCUAUUACUUUUAAGAAUUCAAGAUACAAUGGAUGAUUUUCAAGUGAGGGAAGGCUCUCUAUUUAUAGUUGAGCUCCCCCAAGACCGACAAUCUUGAUCAAGUUACAUCGACGGACGAGAUUAGCCUAUCUCUUAAAUCUAAGGAUUUACAAAAUUAUAUAAUCAAUUUACAUAAUCAAAUCCAAUCUAAUCUUAUAAGAUAUGAUUCCUCUCAAUCUUCUAAGAUUAAUUUCCCUAUUUACUAAGGUAGCCUAUGUUGUCAUAUUUUCAUCAUUGGGCCACCUAGGUUUUAAUCUGACAGGCUUCUCUAACAGUUCUUUGAAUCAGACCAGUUCUCGUGGGCUAAAUGAUCCCCAUCUAAUCGAUAGACCUUCAUGGGACGCAUCUUGUGCGAUACUUAGGGGCCUUACACUUUGGCCUGUGACAACUACACCUUCAAAGAUAAAUCCCACCCCAAAACUGAAUCUUUCUUUCCUCUAUUAAAUCUAACCAGGUAGAAAGAAUCAUUAUGUCCUAAGCAGCCACAGAAAAAACAGAAAAGUGUCAAUCUUUCAUACUGAAAACUCACAUAGGUACACUUUCCAGGGGAGACCAAAAUCAUUUUCUUUCGUUUUAACGGCUUCCUAACAUCCAAUUGCACCCAAAUCAACAUGAAAUUUCUUAAUCCUUUCCCGAAUUGCUUAGAAUCAUAUUCUUGAAACUUCCCAAUAAAAUCCUCUAAUUUCUUUGCUACACACUAAGAGAAAAACCUCAAGGGUAAAUCAUGCACUUGCACCCAAAAAGAUGACAGUACCAAGGGCACUUGCAUUGGAUCAUCUCCCUCUGCCAAUCGAUGCAUCACCAAAAGGUGAUUAUUAAAAGUUCACGAAGCCCCAUUCAUCACUCGAUCAAUGUCCAUGUUAUGAAAAAACUUAAACAAAUACCUAUUUUCUCCCAGAUCUAAGAGCUAAACUCCCCCUAACAAAUGCCAAAGAUUUUCCAUCGUACUCCUCAUUGUCAAGAAAUGAACAACACUCACCGUGAGGAAACACCCAACCAAACAAAAAUCAUACGUUAUUUUUUUAGGCUCUGAUUCAUUGGGUAACAACAAAACCUCAUCCUUUCCAUCAUCUAAUAUUAACCCUGCUAGAUCUGUUUCCAUAGCAAAUCCCCACCUACCCCAAAACCAAAAAACAAACAGUCAAAAGACAAUCAAACCCACCCACUACACUACCACUACCGACCAAGAACACAGAAAUGCAAAAACCACACACGUGCUAAAGCAAUAGACUAGAGACGUGCAAGAACUGCAGACCUACCUUCAGAGUAUAUUUUAAUUUAUUUUUGUGUAAUUUAAAAUUAAUUCAAAAAAUAUAAUUUAUUAAAUUCUAUUUAAUUUGACUGGCCAAA
Molecule: long non-coding RNA, 2968 nt
Filed under: Gossypium raimondii (Peruvian cotton)
Lineage: Eukaryota; Viridiplantae; Streptophyta; Magnoliopsida; Malvales; Malvaceae
Description: long non-coding RNA (GRAI_LNC008402)
Source: RNAcentral